RNAcentral lists this small RNA (1087 nucleotides) under Arabidopsis thaliana (thale cress). RNAcentral describes it as "ATSL146660". The record is from RNAcentral. Lineage: Eukaryota; Viridiplantae; Streptophyta; Magnoliopsida; Brassicales; Brassicaceae.
AUUUUCAAAUCAUAUUGGCAUAUACAUCAAAUCCUAUUUUCAAAUCCUAAUUGAUGUAUAAAUUAAAACUAUUAUUACAUCAAAAAUAGAUAUGUUCACAUUGGGCGGAUGAUGGCGCGUCACUCAUUGUGCAAAAAUUGUUCAUAAUUAUGGAUUUUUGGAUGAUGGCGCGUCACUCAUUGGCCGGUUUGAUUCAUUGUUUGAAUGUAUCCUUUAUGUCAGAUUGAUUGUUUGAUCAUGAACAACAACAUCCAGACUCUAAAAUUAGCAGUUGCUGCCCAUCAUGCCGAGGAAUUGAGCUUGGUUAUUGGUCAAUUCCCAUUCUUUUUUUAAUUCAGCUAAUCUUUUAAUUAUUAGCUAACCAUUUGUCUUUUCCAUUGAGAAAAUCCCUAUUGUCGUUAAGACCAUGCAACUUGAACGAGUUCUUCAUCUCACACUUUGUGGUCGCAAAACCACCGGUCCCAUAGUCUCUCCCCAACCAAAUUCUUUCCUUUGUGCUUAGGUAUUCUAGUUUGAAUCAUUUAUUCAGGAGAUAAAUAUAACAUUCUCGUUAUCUAACUAUCUUUAUUUCUUCUCUUCUAGCUUCCAAUUGGAGUUUUGUGUCUGACAUUUAUUAAUCUCUUUCGCUACAGUUGCUCGUCGUAGGAGGAGCUGACAUCAAUCCUGCAGAUCUGAAGGGAAAUUCUCCACUUCAUUUAAUGCCCUCUUGAUGGCGGGAGCCAGUGUUGCAGCCACCACCCUCAAAGGAGAUACUGUAAGUAUUUUUUCUUAUUUUUCUUAUGUUAUUUCUUAUUUAUGAAUGUGCAGGCUCUGCAUUUUACUGCAAGGAGAAGUGACUACACGAAUAUCAUUACUGCAUGAUCAAGAGUCUCUUGGCUGGAGGGGCCAUCCGUGGAGCCAUAAAUGCUUUUGGAAAGGUAAUACACCAUUAGAGAAAUAUAUACAAUUAUACAUAUCGUUUUUGAGUUUGGGUAUUGUUUGAUUUUACGGACACCUCUAAUGGUUGCAGGACUAUUGAAGCCAUAAAUCUUCUGCAAACUCCUUAACUACGUGUGUAGUUGCUGCAAUCACUUGGAUCAACUCUCUC